This 373-nucleotide ribosomal RNA is filed under the name uncultured organism. Its description in RNAcentral is "partial 16S ribosomal RNA". It matches the Rfam family "Bacterial small subunit ribosomal RNA", at positions 527 to 896 of the family's 1533-position model. The record is from RNAcentral.
GUAGGUGGCAAGCGUUGUCCGGAAUUAUUGGGCGUAAAGCGUGCGCAGGCGGUUCUUUAAGUCUGAUGUGAAAGCCCACGGCUCAACCGUGGAGGGUCAUUGGAAACUGGAGAACUUGAGUACAGAAGAGGAAAGCGGAAUUCCACGUGUAGCGGUGAAAUGCGUAGAGAUGUGGAGGAACACCAGUGGCGAAGGCGGCUUUCUGGUCUGUAACUGACGCUGAGGCGCGAAAGCGUGGGGAGCAAACAGGAUUAGAUACCCUGGUAGUCCACGCCGUAAACGAUGAGUGCUAAGUGUUAGGGGGGUUUCCGCCCCCCUUAGUGCUGCAGCUAACGCAUUAAGCACUCCGCCUGGGAGUACGGCCGCAAGGCUG